RNAcentral lists this ribosomal RNA (376 nucleotides) under uncultured bacterium. Its description in RNAcentral is "bacterial SSU rRNA". It matches the Rfam family "Bacterial small subunit ribosomal RNA", at positions 524 to 898 of the family's 1533-position model. The record is from RNAcentral.
GACAGAGGGUGCGAACGUUGCUCGGAAUGACUGGGCGUAAAGCGCGUGUAGGCGGCUCCGCAAGUCCGGUGUGAAAGCCCAGGGCUCAACCCUGGAAGUGCACUGGAAACUAUGGAGUUGGAGUUUUGGAGAGGAGAGCGGAAUUUCCGGUGUAGAGGUGAAAUUCGUAGAUAUCGGAAGGAACACCAGUGGCGAAGGCGGCUCUCUGGACAGGUACUGACGCUGAGACGCGAAAGCGUGGGUAGCAAACAGGAUUAGAUACCCUGGUAGUCCACGCCGUAAACGAUGAGAACUGGGUGUUGCGGGUAUUGACCCCCGCGGUGCCGAAGCUAACGCGUUAAGUUCUCCGCCUGGGAAGUACGGCCGCAAGGCUAAA